AUCCCGUUCUAGAAUCUUCCAUAGACCAUCACUCCAUCUGUGAGGAAAGACAGACAGAAGCACACCCAGAGCUCUCAAACCCCGCUCUAGAAUCUUCCAUAGACCACCAGGCUGGCCAUGCUUCUUGCCCAGAAAGAACAAGUCUUACCUAAGCCCUGGCUGCUGGUUAGUGAUCAACUCCUGGAGAAGAAAGCCAUACCUGGUCUGAGGAAGCAAUUACUGCAUCACUGUGAAUUGACCAUGAGGCCAUAGACCCUGUUAAGACAGAAGUAAACAAAGCAACAAAACUCCUGUAAUUGUCUUUGAAAAAAUAAAAUCUAGUGAACAUUCCCAGCAA
Molecule: long non-coding RNA, 337 nt
Organism: Mastomys coucha (southern multimammate mouse)
Lineage: Eukaryota; Metazoa; Chordata; Mammalia; Rodentia; Muridae
Exons: 2
Source: RefSeq, a predicted model, not a curated record